Molecule: transfer RNA, 82 nt
Filed under: Serratia marcescens
Lineage: Bacteria; Pseudomonadati; Pseudomonadota; Gammaproteobacteria; Enterobacterales; Yersiniaceae
Also listed under: 1 other name
Description: tRNA-Glu
Source: RNAcentral
UGAUGAUGUUGGCGUACGGGUUGUUUUCGCCGCUUUCGACCGCGAUCGGAUCUUUGGUCGGGUUCAGCCCGGCGUCGAUGGC